CGCUGGCGGCGUGCAUAACACAUGCAAGUCGAACGAUGAAACUUAGAUGAUUUCUUCGGAAUGAACUUAAGCGGAUUAGUGGCGAACGGGUGAGUAACACGUGAGUAACCUGCCUUACACAAGGGGAUAGCCUUUGGAAACGAAGAAUAAUACCCUAUAACGUCAAUUUAUCGCAUGAUAGAAUGACCAAAGAUUUAUCGGUGUAAGAUGGACUUGCGUCUGAUUAGCUAGUUGGUGAGAUAAAGGCCCACCAAGGCAACGAUCAGUAGCCGGCUUGAGAGAGUGUACGGCCACAUUGGGACUGAGACACGGCCCAAACUCCUACGGGAGGCAGCAGUGGGGAAUUUUGCACAAUGGGGGAAACCCUGAUGCAGCGACGCCGCGUGAUUUAGAAGGCCUUCGGGUUGUAAAAAUCUUUUUUAUGGGAUGAAAAUGACAGUACCAUAAGAAUAAGGUCCGGCUAAAUACGUGCCAGCAGCCGCGGUAAUACGUAUGGACCGAGCGUUGUCCGGAAUCAUUGGGCGUAAAGGGUACGUAGGCGGCCCAGUAAGUUAGAAGUGAAAUAAUAUAGCUCAACUAUAUAAAGCUUUUAAAACUGCUAGGCUUGAGAGAUGGAAGGGAAAGUGGAAUUCCUAGUGUAGCGGUGAAAUGCGCAGAUAUUAGGAAGAAUACCGGUGGCGAAGGCGACUUUCUGGUCAUCAUCUGACGCUGAGGUACGAAAGCGUGGGUAGCAAACAGGAUUAGAUACCCUGGUAGUCCACGCUGUAAACGAUGAGUGUUAGGUUCUUGGAAUAAUCUGGGAGCCGCAGCUAACGCAUUAAACACUCCGCCUGGGGAGUACGCACGCAAGUGUG
Molecule: ribosomal RNA, 854 nt
Filed under: uncultured Clostridia bacterium
Lineage: Bacteria; Bacillati; Bacillota; Clostridia
Description: bacterial SSU rRNA
Rfam family: Bacterial small subunit ribosomal RNA
Source: RNAcentral